This 253-nucleotide ribosomal RNA is filed under the name uncultured bacterium. Its description in RNAcentral is "partial 16S ribosomal RNA". It matches the Rfam family "Bacterial small subunit ribosomal RNA", at positions 524 to 776 of the family's 1533-position model. The record is from RNAcentral.
UACGAGGGGUGCAAGCGUUGUUCGGAAUCACUGGGCGUAAAGGGAGCGUAGGCGGAGCUCCAAGUCGGUCGUUCAAUGCCGGGGCCUAACCCCGGACCUGCGGCCGAUACUGGGGCUCUUGAGUUAUCUAGAGGCAGGCGGAAUUCCAGGUGUAGCGGUGGAAUGCGUAGAGAUCUGGAAGAACACCAAUGGCGAAGGCAGCCUGCUGGGGAUUAACUGACGCUGAGGCUCGAAAGUGCGGGUAGCAAACAGG